This 266-nucleotide ribosomal RNA is filed under the name uncultured bacterium. RNAcentral's name for it is "partial 16S ribosomal RNA". It matches the Rfam family "Bacterial small subunit ribosomal RNA", at positions 793 to 1055 of the family's 1533-position model. The record is from RNAcentral.
GUCCACGCCGUAAACGAUGGGUGCUAGGUGUCGCGGGCUUUGACCCCUGCGGUGCCGCAGCUAACGCAUUAAGCACCCCGCCUGGGAAGUACGGCCGCAAGGCUAAAACUCAAAGGAAUUGACGGGGGCCCGCACAAGCGGUGGAGCAUGUGGUUUAAUUCGACGCAACGCGAAGAACCUUACCUGGGCUAGAAAACACAGGAACCUGGUUGAAAAGUCGGGGUGCUCUUCGGAGAACCUGUGGUUAGGUGCUGCAUGGCUGUCGU